AGGAAUUUAGGUUAAAUAGACCAAGAGCCUUCAAAGCUCUAAGUAAGUGAUCUCACUUAAUUCCUG
RNAcentral lists this transfer RNA (66 nucleotides) under Tamias canipes (gray-footed chipmunk). RNAcentral's name for it is "tRNA-Trp". The record is from RNAcentral. Lineage: Eukaryota; Metazoa; Chordata; Mammalia; Rodentia; Sciuridae.